AGUGAACGCUGGCGGUAGGCCUAACACAUGCAAGUCGAACGGCAGCACAGGAGAGCUUGCUCUCUGGGUGGCGAGUGGCGGACGGGUGAGGAAUACAUCGGAAUCUACUUUUUCGUGGGGGAUAACGUAGGGAAACUUACGCUAAUACCGCAUACGACCUACGGGUGAAAGCAGGGGACCUUCGGGCCUUGCGCGAUUGAAUGAGCCGAUGUCGGAUUAGCUAGUUGGCGGGGUAAAGGCCCACCAAAGCGACGAUCCGUAGCUGGUCUGAGAGGAUGAUCAGCCACACUGGAACUGAGACACGGUCCAGACUCCUACGGGAGGCAGCAGUGGGGAAUAUUGGACAAUGGGCGCAAGCCUGAUCCAGCCAUACCGCGUGGGUGAAGAAGGCCUUCGGGUUGUAAAGCCCUUUUGUUGGGAAAGAAAUCCAGCUGGCUAAUACCCGGUUGGGAUGACGGUACCCAAAGAGUAAGCACCGGCUAACUUCGUGCCAGCAGCCGCCGUAA
RNAcentral lists this ribosomal RNA (506 nucleotides) under uncultured bacterium. Its description in RNAcentral is "partial 16S ribosomal RNA". It matches the Rfam family "Bacterial small subunit ribosomal RNA", at positions 29 to 523 of the family's 1533-position model. The record is from RNAcentral.